Molecule: long non-coding RNA, 4933 nt
Organism: Astatotilapia calliptera (eastern happy)
Lineage: Eukaryota; Metazoa; Chordata; Actinopteri; Cichliformes; Cichlidae
Source: Ensembl
GUAGGGUACAGGCCCACCAUGGGAGAAGCUGUUUACCUUUGCUCCAAAACUAACAUUUCAUGGAUCUUGUGACAAUUCUUGGUCACUGCACCUUCUGGUUUAAAAGGGUCGUAGAAGGUGACACUUUCAUCUGAGACUAGAUGAAUCUUUACCGCUGCUGCUUCUGAAUAAAACUGUUUCCUCACUUCACACCUUGUAAAACUUGACACACAUUUUUGUCCAAGUAUGCAUGGAUAAAGGGAAGAGUUCAAGGCCAGGUUUGGAAAACAAAAUGACAUAAGGUACAUUUGAAUGAGCAAGGGGUGCAGCACGUUUGCUUGAUUCACACUUUCCCAGUCGUAGGCCUCGAUUUCGAUCUUUGUCUAACAUUCUUCAAGUGCAGUGUAUGAUGGUUAAUUAAUGGCACAGCAAGUGGGAGUUCCCACUCAAACCUCCAAAAAGGGGGGUUUUGCACACCCUUAGAACUGAAUAUGUCUUAUUUUAGAACCACCUGAACUUCAUUAUCCUCCUAAGUUUCCAUGUGGGUCAGUAACACCAAUAUAACACAGAUUUUUGUACUUUCAUGCUACUUGGUGAGAUAAAAACUAUAUCCAAACACCAACCUAAUCCACCAUGUGGACAUUUUCAUUAACCUAGAGCUAAGGUCAUGACCCAUGUCACCAAAGUUCGGUCCCAGUUCUGGUGAUGAAUGGUUUAUGUGCUGCCAGAAAACUUCAACAGAAAGAUUCAGAGGUGUAAAACAGAAACAAGUAACCAUAUGUCACGCUGGAGGGCAGGAAAUAAACUCCAGAUGAAGACACUACAUUGUGGUUUAUUUUGCUUAUGUGUGUGGGUGUGCACAUACUGUAAUGUAAGUGAACUGUAGGACUGUCUUUUGAGUUGCACAGCACACAGCAUCUCCAUUUCCACCAAUCUAUUCUAAUUGUAGGAUCAUAACAGGUUUUUUAUUGAUCUAUUGGUCUAUGACUUUAUCAAAUAUCCUAAAUAUCUAAAAUAAUGACAGCUAUCAUCACAAGUUAUAAUGUGGAACACUGCUCGUUUUCUUAUUCUAAAUAUUACAGAUACAACCAUAAGACAUGAGAAAUUCAACUGGCAACUCAGUGGCUAAGACUGUUUUGAUCAAUGUCUUGCACCAUAUUGCAGCUGUUUAGACACUGGACCUCUUACAUAGCAGAUACUAGAUACCCUUCACCUUCAUUUGUUCUGUUAUAACAAAAAUAAGGCAUAUGGUUGUAGAGAAUAAUUUCUUGUGUUGUUACCUUGCCUUAGAUACAGGGAUAAAUCAGCUUUUUUGAUAAAUUACUAUUACUAUUACUUGAUUGACAUGAUUUGGAUUGUUGAAGCUAAUAAGGUUUGUGUCAUAUAUUAAAUAUUUGUAUCGUUUAUUUUAAUUUUUGGGCAACGCAACCAGAGCUUCCAGUUCAAUAGCUUUUUGUGGGCAUUAUGCUAUCUCAAUUUACAUUGACUCUAAUCUGAGGCUUUGGUGACCAAUUCUAAACUUCUGACUGGUGGCACUGUGUGAUUUAGACACUGGCCUCCACAGGUGUGGCAAGUGAUCUGAGGGAUGAGUGAAUUCUUCCUGAGUAAUGGUAGCCAUGAUUUGCUCCCCAUGUUGCCCUGCUCAAAUCUUCCCCUUCCUGUUGUCUUAUCUGAGCAUCCAGUGCAACCUAAACCAGGGUGCGGUGCCUCUGUUCCUCCAUUCCCUGUGCAGCCGGUCCCCAUUGCUGGUUUUCUCAAAUGUCACUGUGAAGAGAGAAUGACCCAGUUGAGUUGGACUGACUGACAGAGUCCUGACACCCCAUUGUAGGCACCCUGUCUCAACCUGCCACCCACAGCUUCCCACCUUCUGACCUUUGUGGCACCAAGGGCAAAACAGGCAAAGGCAUUCAGCUAUGCAGUAGAUCCACGAAGAACUUUCUUUGUUUUUAUAAUGGAAAUUGAAAAGCAUUGAUUCGUCUUCCAGACUCAAAAGUAAUUUAGAUUUCCUUAAAACAUUUUUAAAGACGUAAAUGGUAAGUGGUAGUAGACGGAGAGUAGACUAAAAAAGUAGAGACUUAACAUAGAUUGUGUAGAGACAAUUUAUACUUCUCCAACUGUCUGGAUUUGAUUAAGCCAAACAGUCCACCAGCAUCAAGCCAAGCAUCCUCUUUAACACUGUAACUUAAAAAAAAACUGCAAAUAGUUACGAAUCUGACCACUGAAGCUAAAACGCACAAAGAUGUUAGAUGUGUUCAGCAGCGUAUCAUAGAACCAAGCAGUCAUUAAGGAUAUGCACACUGUGUAUAAUAACUUUGCCACACCGUGCUUAUUUAUGUGCUAACCCAAACUUCAUUACUCCAUAGAAUAAUAAGGCUUGUUUAAAGUAAAAUCAUUGACCAAAGCCAAAUUGACACUUACUUAAGCUUGAUAAACUGUUAUUUUCCUGGCUUAAUUCUCUGGUGCAUGGUAACUUGAAUAGGAUUUGAAUCAUUUGUGAAUCAUCUAUCAUUUGCAUUCCUGCCAAAUACGCUAUAAACAUGUUUCCGCAUGUGUUCAUUCCAUAGCUGAUCUGCCAAACAGCAGUCGAAGGCUGCUGAAAGAAGGCUUAUCUCACAGCCUUCUAUGAAAAUAUAUAUAUUUCUUUUUAAUGGAAUGUGGAAUCAAAGGAAUCUGCGAUAAAUUAACUGGAUAUUGCAUUUUUUAUUUUUUAUUUUGGCCAAUGUCCGAUGCUGUCAAUUUUUUUUGUACAUUCACAAAGACAGGAAGUUUUGUGGGGAAAAAUCUGAUUAACUGAGUGCGUGUGUGUGUGGGUGUUUUUGUGUGUUUGUGUUUGAGUAUAGCCACCAAACUUUGAAUGUGUGUGUAGACUUGCAGACCUUAGCUCAGCUCGGAGAUGUAAUCUGAUUUGCAGAAAGGAACGGGUCGUUUCACAUGACUGGUUUAAAGGACCGCUGGCGCAAGGUUGUGCCAGUGUCCCUGACUGAUUUGUGUGUGUGUGUGUGUGUGUGUGUGUGUGUGUGUGUGUGUGUGUGUGUGUGUGUGUGUGUGUGUGUGUGUGUGUGUGUGUGUGUGUGUGUAUGGAUAUAUGUACUUCAAUACUUGUGUGUAUACACCUACAAGUAUUAAUUUGUUUUCACAAAGUGCAACGCAGACAUGUGAUCAUUUGCUACUAUAGGCUUGCCUCCACUAGAAAAAGAGAGGUGUUGAAGUUUGCAAUGUGGUCAAACACACCAGAGUUUUGCUUUUAUUCCGUUGUUCUUCGGUUUAAACACGGUUUAUUUGCAGAAAUAAAGCCACCACUAAUUAACAGUCAAUUACACAUCUGGAAAAAAGCAAAGCUCUGCUACAGACUCGGAUGAAGGUUUUGUUUGCAGCUUUCUGUUUACACAUCUCUUAUAAUCAGAGCUUUAUUUUGAACUAAUGGACCAUCAGAAAUUAUAUCAAAUAAUUGAAAUCAUCCUGUAGCCUGAGCCCUUUUUACAAGACUGCUAGGAUUAAAAUCCCCUUAAAGCUUCCCCUAUGAAUCUGCUGGGUUGUUUUUUUUUUUUACAUAAAUAGAAAAAAAAUGUUUAUUGAUGUUUUUGUGGUCGAGAUUCUCAGAUGGGUUUUUUUUUUUGAGCUGGAAGAGGUCCAUCAUGUGAUUUUCAUUGGAGAGUGGCCGGAGGAGACGACCACAAUAAAAACAAGUGAGCGUGCAUGAGCGUGUGUUUGUGUGUCAUCUGGCCUUGUUAAUAACUGCAGGUUGUUUUCCAUCUCGAGGUCGUCAACUGCGGUCAUGGCAUACACAAAUGGAAGAGAGGAGGCCCUAGGAGGUGAUAUCAAUGAGUGCUCCUGGGAGUGUCGUGUAAAUGCAUGCACAGAUGAUCACCAAGAAGGGGCUGAGUAAUGGAAACAUGACCUCAAGAGAUUCAACAGGAUCAUACUAAAUCCUGGUUUGGACUGUUGGACCAGCAUCCUCUGAAGCAGAUGUUUGCUCCUGGCAAGGCUGCCGACAACAUGAGCUCCAACACUGGCAAUCUAGCUCCCAGGAUUCAGUGAGCAGCGUGAGCUUGGAGAAGCUAUGACAUAAACGCAGCAGGACGGUGAAUCGCGUUUUGCUGCUCAGACAUCAUGGAACAGAUCAGUCAGCCCCAUCUGGAGAAAUGCUCUAUAGAAGAGUCAUAUAUUUACCAUAGUUACUUUGAUGGAUACAGCAUGUUGUUUGACUUUAUUUUUCUAAUUGAUUUUAUGAUGAUAAUUUCCCGGCAUCUAUGUAUCUUCUCUUGUUUUGCAGAUUUUAUUUACAGUGUCGCUCAUUCAGUAACUUCAGCAUUUAAUGUGUAAUUUUUGUCAUUUUUGGUAAUGUGACUGUUUUCAAAGUGGCUCUUCUAAAACUGCAUAAGAACGUUUAUCCAGGGAGGAGCACAAAAGAUGUCUCCUACUGUGUAUAAAGACUUAAUGCACAUGUGAUUGAGAUUAAUCAGACGAAUCACUCAAUCAGUGGAUAUGUGAUUUUCAUCUUCGACAAAGAAGCCAUUGUCAUUAAUGUAAAACCAUGAAUUCUCCUUCUUACGCUGCAUUUUAUUGUGACACAUUGGCAGCUUCUGCUAAUUUCAGUUAAUAAUCCUGUCAAGCAGUUUAUUCUCAUUAUGAUUUAUGACUCCAUAGCUUUUGUUGUUUUUGUUAAGCCCUGUUAGCAGAAAUUAAAAGGUGUAUCCAAGCUGCUGUUUGUUUGUGUUGUCAUUCCAGAUACAUGAGAUAAAUGGUUGGAUGUUUCAGUGGUGUUCAUUGUUACGGUUAUUCAUGCUGGCUUCCUUACUAGUUAGGCCAGUAUGUGCUAGUCUAGCAUUUGAGGAAUAAAUGGGGUGUUAUCUUUUUUUUUUUUCUUCAAAGGAAGACAAGGUAAAGGUGAACUUUACAGUAAAAAUGUAAUAUGUUACAUUUAAACUGAAACAGUGAUUUUUAAUAGUUUUAC